GUGGGUAUAGUCAAGUGGUUAAGACAGCGGGUUGUGGCUCCGUUAUGCGUGGGUUCGAAUCCCACUAUCCACCCCA
This 76-nucleotide transfer RNA is filed under the name Blautia obeum. RNAcentral's name for it is "tRNA-His". It matches the Rfam family "tRNA". Rfam says of the family: Transfer RNA (tRNA) molecules are approximately 80 nucleotides in length. The record is from RNAcentral. Lineage: Bacteria; Bacillati; Bacillota; Clostridia; Lachnospirales; Lachnospiraceae. RNAcentral also lists the same sequence under 18 other names.